RNAcentral lists this transfer RNA (72 nucleotides) under Camelus bactrianus (Bactrian camel). It matches the Rfam family "tRNA". From Rfam's summary of the family: Transfer RNA (tRNA) molecules are approximately 80 nucleotides in length. Their secondary structure includes four short double-helical elements and three loops (D, anti-codon, and T loops). Further hydrogen bonds mediate the characteristic L-shaped molecular structure. tRNAs have two regions of fundamental functional importance: the anti-codon, which is responsible for specific mRNA codon recognition, and the 3' end, to which the tRNAs corresponding amino acid is attached (by aminoacyl-tRNA synthetases). tRNAs cope with the degeneracy of the genetic code in two manners: having more than one tRNA (with a specific anti-codon) for a particular amino acid; and 'wobble' base-pairing, i.e. permitting non-standard base-pairing at the 3rd anti-codon position. Lineage: Eukaryota; Metazoa; Chordata; Mammalia; Artiodactyla; Camelidae. RNAcentral also lists the same sequence under 2 other names. The record is from Rfam by way of RNAcentral.
GAGGGUAUAGCUCAGGGGCAGAGCACAUGCUUAGCAUGGACGAGGUCCUGGGUUCAAUUCCCAGUACCUCCA